GGGGGGGGGGGGGGGGGGGGGUGGGGCAUGGAGGUGGGGGGGGGGCACAGUAGGAGCUUGCUGGUACGGGUGGCGAGUGGCGGACGGGGGGGGAAUACGUCGGAAUCUACUUUUUCGUGGGGGAUAGCGUGGGUAAACAUACGCUAAUACCGCAUACGACCUACGGGUGAAAGCAGGUGAUCUUCGUACCUUGCUCGAGUCAAUGAGACGAUGUCGGAUUAGCUAGUUGGCGGGGUAAAGGCCCACCAAGGCGACGAUCCGUAGCUGGUCUGAGAGGAUGAUCAGCCACACUGGAACUGAGACACGGUCCAGACUCCUACGGGAGGCAGCAGUGGGGAAUAUUGGACAAUGGGCGCAAGCCUGAUCCAGCCAUACCGCGUGGGUGAAGAAGGCCUUCGGGUUGUAAAGCCCUUUUGUUGGGAAAGAAAAGCAGCAGGUUAAUACCCCGCUGUUCUGACGGUACCCAAAGAAUAAGCACCGGCUAACUUCGUG
RNAcentral lists this ribosomal RNA (492 nucleotides) under uncultured bacterium. Its description in RNAcentral is "partial 16S ribosomal RNA". It matches the Rfam family "Bacterial small subunit ribosomal RNA", at positions 27 to 507 of the family's 1533-position model. The record is from RNAcentral.